GACGAACGCUGGCGGCGUGCUUAACACAUGCAAGUCGAACGGAAAGGCCCUGCUUUUGUGGGGUGCUCGAGUGGCGAACGGGUGAGUAACACGUGAGUAACCUGCCCUUGACUUUGGGAUAACUUCAGGAAACUGGGGCUAAUACCGGAUAGGAGCUCCUGCUGCAUGGUGGGGGUUGGAAAGUUUCGGCGGUUGGGGAUGGACUCGCGGCUUAUCAGCUUGUUGGUGGGGUAGUGGCUUACCAAGGCUUUGACGGGUAGCCGGCCUGAGAGGGUGACCGGCCAAAUGGGGGGUGAGAUAGGGCCCGACCUCAUAGGGGAGGGAGGAGGGGGGAAAUAAGCAAAAUGGGGGGAAGCCGAAUGCAGCAACGCCGGGGGGGGGAGGACGGCCUUAGGGUGGUAAACAGCUUUCGCUUGUGACGAAGGGUGAGUAAGGGAAAUGGGGAAAAAAGCACCGGCAAACUAGGG
Molecule: ribosomal RNA, 467 nt
Filed under: uncultured bacterium
Lineage: Bacteria
Description: partial 16S ribosomal RNA
Rfam family: Bacterial small subunit ribosomal RNA
Source: RNAcentral